Molecule: ribosomal RNA, 460 nt
Filed under: uncultured bacterium
Lineage: Bacteria
Description: partial 16S ribosomal RNA
Rfam family: Bacterial small subunit ribosomal RNA
Source: RNAcentral
CCUACGGGUGACAGCAGUGAGGAAUAUUGGUCAAUGGGCGGAAGCCUGAACCAGCCAAGUAGCGUGCAGGAUGACGGCCCUACGGUUUGUAAACUGCUUUUAUACGGGAAUAACGCGCCUUACGUGUAGGGCUUUGCAUGUACCGUAUGAAUAAGGACCGGCUAAUUCCGUGCCAGCAGCCGCGGUAAUACGGAAGGUCCGGGCGUUAUCCGGAUUUAUUGGGUUUAAAGGGAGCGUAGGCCGCAUGUCAAGCGUGCUGUGAAAUGUCCGGGCUCAACCCGGGACUUGCAGCGCGAACUGGCGAGCUUGAGUUGGCGGAAAGCAGGCGGAAUUCGUGGUGUAGCGGUGAAAUGCUUAGAUAUGACGAAGAACCCCGAGGGCGAAGGCAGCUUGCUGCAGCGGAACUGACGCUGAUGCUCGAAAGCGAGGGUAUCGAACAGGAUUAGAUACCCUUGUAGUC